GGUUGGUCCGAGUGCAGUGGUGUUUACAACUAAUUGAUCACAACCAGUUACAGAUUCCUUUGUUCCUUCUCCACUCCCACUGCUCCACUUGACCAGCCUUUU
This is an unclassified non-coding RNA of Microcebus murinus (gray mouse lemur), 102 nucleotides long. It matches the Rfam family "Y RNA". From Rfam's summary of the family: Y RNAs are components of the Ro ribonucleoprotein particle (Ro RNP), in association with Ro60 and La proteins. The Y RNAs and Ro60 and La proteins are well conserved, but the function of the Ro RNP is not known. The record is from Ensembl. NCBI's taxonomy places the organism in Eukaryota, Metazoa, Chordata, Mammalia, Primates, Cheirogaleidae.